GGCUUCGUGGUGUAAUGGUCAGCACGCUCGACGCGUAUUCUAGAGGUUCGUGGUUCAAUUCCCGGCGGAGGCG
This 73-nucleotide transfer RNA is filed under the name Stegodyphus mimosarum. It matches the Rfam family "tRNA". Rfam says of the family: Transfer RNA (tRNA) molecules are approximately 80 nucleotides in length. The record is from Rfam by way of RNAcentral. Lineage: Eukaryota; Metazoa; Arthropoda; Arachnida; Araneae; Eresidae.